CAGCGCGGUCUGCGAUCUGUUUCUGUGACACGAUGCGGUAGAUCUCUGCAAAGGGGGUACAGGGGGACGUGGGGUGAGCCAGCACGUGCCCUGCCUGCCGAGGGGAACCCCUCCCUGCAGGACUCCAGAGGCCCUCUCCAGACCCCCACAGCGCCCCCAUCACAUCAGGGGUAACAAGGACAGGGGCUGCGCACCCAGCCAGGACCCACAUCUGGUCACAGCCAGCCCCGGCCUCUCGCUCCCUAAGAUCAGAAGCGCCCUCCUCCCUCAGAGGUAAACUCCCAGAAGCCAAAAGGCUCCAGGUCCCUGAGGCUACCCGCCUCCCCGCAGCGCCAAGAGUUAAGGCAGGGCCCAUCCCCAGGAACUGGGGCCAGGGGGUCUCUGUGUCCCCAGUGCCAGCAAGGGCUAGACCUGGUCUGACCCUGUGAAGUGUCCAGGUGGACCGGCAGGUUUAAAAAGCAAAGGUUAGGGGUGGUGGUGGAAAAAAAUCAAACAGGCCAGGUGCAGUGGCUCACGCCUGUAAUCCCAGCACUUUGGGAGGCUGAGGCAGGAGGAUCACUUGAGCCCAGGAGUUCGAGAUCAACCUGGACAACAUUGUGAAAUCCUGUCUCUACUAAAAAUUACAAAAAUUAGCGGGUGUGGUGGCAGGCACCUGUAAUCCCAGCUACUCGGGAGGCUGAGGCAGGAGAAUUGCCUGAACCUGGAAGGCGGAGGUUGCAGUAAGCUGAGAUCGAGCCACCACACUCCAGCCUGGGCAAAGAGCAAAAAUCCAUCCUGCCCCGACAAAAAAAAGAAAAAAACAAGCAAACGAACAAAACAAGCGAAGGUUCAGAGGCCGUGUUCCACCCUGCCUGGCUGGUGCCCUACCCACACCCAUCUGGUCCCCGGCCACCUGUGAGGAUGUUCUUGAAUGCUUCCUCUACGUUAGUGGAAUCCAAGGCUGAGGUCUCGAUGAAGGACAAGUUGUUCUUUUCUGGAACAAAGAAUACUGCCUAGGUGAGU
This 1002-nucleotide long non-coding RNA is filed under the name Homo sapiens (human). Its description in RNAcentral is "HSALNT0255389". Lineage: Eukaryota; Metazoa; Chordata; Mammalia; Primates; Hominidae. The record is from RNAcentral.